RNAcentral lists this transfer RNA (77 nucleotides) under Camelus bactrianus (Bactrian camel). It matches the Rfam family "tRNA". From Rfam's summary of the family: Transfer RNA (tRNA) molecules are approximately 80 nucleotides in length. Their secondary structure includes four short double-helical elements and three loops (D, anti-codon, and T loops). Lineage: Eukaryota; Metazoa; Chordata; Mammalia; Artiodactyla; Camelidae. RNAcentral also lists the same sequence under 2 other names. The record is from Rfam by way of RNAcentral.
GAAGAUGUAGCUCAAGUGGUAGAGCACAUGCUUAGCAUGCACAAGCAAGGCCCUGGGUUCAAUCUCCAGUACCUUCU